Molecule: ribosomal RNA, 254 nt
Filed under: uncultured bacterium
Lineage: Bacteria
Description: partial 16S ribosomal RNA
Rfam family: Bacterial small subunit ribosomal RNA
Source: RNAcentral
UACGUAGGGUGCAAGCGUUAAUCGGAAUUACUGGGCGUAAAGCGUGCGCAGGCGGUUAUGUAAGACAGUUGUGAAAUCCCCGGGCUCAACCUGGGAACUGCAUCUGUGACUGCAUAGCUAGAGUACGGUAGAGGGGGAUGGAAUUCCGCGUGUAGCAGUGAAAUGCGUAGAUAUGCGGAGGAACACCGAUGGCGAAGGCAAUCCCCUGGGCCUGCACUGACGCUCGAUGCACGAAAGCGUGGGGAGCAAACAGG